GCUUGUCUCAAAGAUUAAGCCAUGCAUGUCUAAGUAUAAGCAAUUUAUACAGUGAAACUGCGAAUGGCUCAUUAAAUCAGUUAUCGUUUAUUUGAUAGUUCCUUUACUACAUGGAAUACCUGUGGUAAUUCUAGAGCUAAUACAUGCUUAAAAUCCCGACUCUUGUGGAAGGGAUGUAUUUAUUAGAUAAAAAAUCAAUGUCUUCGGACCCUUUGAUGAUUCAUAAUAACUUUUCGAAUCGCAUGGCCUUGUGCUGGCGAUGGUUCAUUCAAAUUCUGCCCUAUCAACUUUCGAUGGUAGGAUAGUGGCCUACCAUGGUUUCAACGGGUAACGGGGAAUAAGGGUUCGAUUCCGGAGAGGGAGCCUGAGAAACGGCUACCACAUCCAAGGAAGGCAGCAGGCGCGCAAAUUACCCAAUCCUAAUACAGGGAGGUAGUGACAAUAAAUAACGAUACAGGGCCCAUUCGGGUCUUGUAAUUGGAAUGAGUACAAUGUAAAUACCUUAACGAGGAACAAUUGGAGGGCAAGUCUGGUGCCAGCAGCCGCGGUAAUUCCAGCUCCAAUAGCGUAUAUUAAAGUUGUUGCAGUUAAAAAGCUCGUAGUUGAACCUUGGGCCUGGUUGGCCGGUCCGAUUUUUUUCGUGUACUGUGUUGACCGGGUCUUUCCUUCUGGCUAACCAUUUGUCCUUGUGGCAGAUGGCGAACCAGGACAUUUACUUUGAAAAAAUUAGAGUGUUCAAAGCAGGCGUAAGCUCGAAUAUAUUAGCAUGGAAUAAUAGAAUAGGACGUUUGGUUCUAUUUUGUUGGUUUCUAGGACCAUCGUAAUGAUUAAUAGGGACGGUCGGGGGCAUCAGUAUUCAGUUGUCAGAGGUGAAAUUCUUGGAUUUACUGAAGACUAACUACUGCGAAAGCAUUUGUCAAGGACGUUUUCAUUAAUCAAGAACGAAAGUUAGGGGAUCGAAGAUGAUCAGAUACCGUCGUAGUCUUAACCAUAAACUAUGCCGACUAGGGAUCGGGUGGUGUUUUUUAUUGACCCACUCGGCACCUUACGAGAAAUCAAAGUUUUUGGGUUCUGGGGGGAGUAUGGUCGCAAGGCUGAAACUUAAAGGAAUUGACGGAAGGGCACCACCAGGAGUGGAGCCUGCGGCUUAAUUUGACUCAACACGGGGAAACUCACCAGGUCCAGACACAAUAAGGAUUGACAGAUUGAGAGCUCUUUCUUGAUUUUGUGGGUGGUGGUGCAUGGCCGUUCUUAGUUGGUGGAGUGAUUUGUCUGCUUAAUUGCGAUAACGAACGAGACCUUAACCUACUAAAUAGUGAUGCUGGCUUUUGCUGGUUAUCUACUUCUUAGAGGGACUAUCGGUAUCAAGCCGAUGGAAGUUUGAGGCAAUAACAGGUCUGUGAUGCCCUUAGACGUUCUGGGCCGCACGCGCGCUACACUGACGGAGCCAGCGAGUAUAACCUUGGCCGAGAGGUCUGGGUAACCUUGUGAAACUCCGUCGUGCUGGGGAUAGAGCAUUGCAAUUAUUGCUCUUCAACGAGGAAUUCCUAGUAAGCGCAAGUCAUCAGCUUGCGUUGAUUACGUCCCUGCCCUUUGUACACA
RNAcentral lists this ribosomal RNA (1602 nucleotides) under Saccharomycodes ludwigii. RNAcentral describes it as "partial small subunit ribosomal RNA". It matches the Rfam family "Eukaryotic small subunit ribosomal RNA", at positions 30 to 1668 of the family's 1831-position model. Lineage: Eukaryota; Fungi; Ascomycota; Saccharomycetes; Saccharomycodales; Saccharomycodaceae. The record is from RNAcentral.